RNAcentral lists this ribosomal RNA (348 nucleotides) under uncultured bacterium. RNAcentral's name for it is "bacterial SSU rRNA". It matches the Rfam family "Bacterial small subunit ribosomal RNA", at positions 160 to 507 of the family's 1533-position model. The record is from RNAcentral.
GGAUUAAUACCUCAUAGUAUGUGAGGAUGGCAUCAUUUUCACAUUAAAGUCACAACGGCAAAAGAUGAGCAUGCGUCCCAUUAGCUAGUUGGUAAGGUAACGGCUUACCAAGGCUACGAUGGGUAGGGGUCCUGAGAGGGAGAUCCCCCACACUGGUACUGAGACACGGACCAGACUCCUACGGGAGGCAGCAGUGAGGAAUAUUGGACAAUGGGCGCAAGCCUGAUCCAGCCAUGCCGCGUGCAGGAUGACGGUCCUAUGGAUUGUAAACUGCUUUGUACAGGAAGAAACACUACUUCGUGAAGUAGCUUGACGGUACUGUAAGAAUAAGGAUCGGCUAACUCCGUG